AUGCCACUUGAUGUAUAUUACUAAUAUUGGAAUGAUACAGAGCAGAAUGGCACGCCCCUGUGCAAGGAAGACAUGCAAAUUCAUGAAGUUUGUUCCAUAUUUUU
This 104-nucleotide small nuclear RNA is filed under the name Choloepus hoffmanni (Hoffmann's two-fingered sloth). The record is from RNAcentral. Lineage: Eukaryota; Metazoa; Chordata; Mammalia; Pilosa; Megalonychidae.